Molecule: ribosomal RNA, 213 nt
Filed under: Triticum aestivum (bread wheat)
Lineage: Eukaryota; Viridiplantae; Streptophyta; Magnoliopsida; Poales; Poaceae
Description: partial small subunit ribosomal RNA
Source: RNAcentral
AUGAGGUUGUCUAUGUUCAACGAGUUCAGCAAGCUCAAAUUUCUUCAAAUUGCAGAAACUAGAUUCGCAAGUGUCGUGAUCAUGCUCAAGAGGCUUCUAUUGAUAAAGGAUGCACUUGUUCAAAUGGUUGUUCAUCCUAAUUGGGCUGCUUAUAGGGAGGAUGAUACAGCUAAAGCUCAAAGGGUUAAGGAGCUUGUUCUCAAUGAUAUUUAG